GGCAAACGCUGGCGGCGUGCUUAACACAUGCAAGUCGAACGGAAAGGCCCUGCUUUUGUGGGGUGCUCGAGUGGCGAACGGGUGAGUAACACGUUAGUAACCUGCCCUUGACUUUGGGAUAACUUCAGGAAACUGGGGCUAAUACCGGAUAGGAGCUCCUGCUGCAUGGUGGGGGUUGGAAAGUUUCGGCGGUUGGGGAUGGACUCGCGGCUUAUCAGCUUGUUGGUGGGGUAGUGGCUUACCAAGGCUUUGACGGGUAGCCGGCCUGAGAGGGUGACCGGCCACAUUGGGACUGAGAUACGGCCCAGACUCCUACGGGAGGCAGCAGUGGGGAAUAUUGCACAAUGGGCGGAAGCCUGAUGCAGCAACGCCGCGUGCGGGAUGACGGCCUUCGGGUUGUAAACCGCUUUCGCCUGUGACGAAGCGUGAGUGACGGUAAUGGGUAAAGAAGCACCGGCUAACUACGUG
This 468-nucleotide ribosomal RNA is filed under the name uncultured bacterium. RNAcentral's name for it is "partial 16S ribosomal RNA". It matches the Rfam family "Bacterial small subunit ribosomal RNA", at positions 28 to 507 of the family's 1533-position model. The record is from RNAcentral.